This 712-nucleotide long non-coding RNA is filed under the name Bos indicus x Bos taurus (hybrid cattle). RNAcentral describes it as "lncRNA (ENSBIXG00000003940.1)". The record is from RNAcentral. Lineage: Eukaryota; Metazoa; Chordata; Mammalia; Artiodactyla; Bovidae.
CCCGAGUCCUUGCUGGGAGCUGGUGUUGCUUCUGCGCCAUUCCUCCCACCUCGCUGCAUGCAGGUGACAGGGUGCCUCCCAGCUAUUGCCACCACGCCUCCUUCCUCUGUUUCAGCUCCAGUCCCCACCAGUCACAGAGACAUCUUCCCCCAGCGCUACAGACCCUCACCACAGGAAGACACACGAGUGCUCCAGUAAAGUGCUUACUGUGUUUUACAAUCAGUGUUUCCAUUUCAAGCUCAGUUGCAAGGUCUUCCCCUCCAGUGAACACUCCAUCAGCUCCACCUCAGAUCAUGGAGUAGCCCUCAUUGUUAAGAAAAGAGUCUGAAAUGCAGUACUUGGACACAAUCUCAAAGAUGACAGAAUGAUCUUGUUCAUUUCCAAGGCAAACCAUUCAAUAUCACAGUAAUCCAAGUCUACACCCCAACCAGUAAUGCUGAAGAAGCUGAAGUUGAACAGUUCUAUGAAAACCUACAAGAUCUACUAGAACUAACACCCAAAAAAGAUGUCCUUUUCAUUAUAAGGGACUCGAAUGCAAAAGUAGGAAGUCAAGCAAUACCUGGAGGAACAGACAAAUUCAGCCUUGGAGUAUGGAAUGAAGCAGGGUAAAGGCUAAUAGAGUUUUGCCAAGAGAAUGCACUGGUCAAAGCAAACAUCCCCUUCCAACAACACAAGAAAAUACUCUACACAUGGACAUCACCAGAUGGUCAAU